AAGUCGUAACAAGGUUUCCGUAGGUGAACCUGCGGAAGGAUCAUUAAAGAAUUCGGCUUCGCGGCCAAAUUCUCACCCUUUGUAUACCGAAACCAUGUUGCUUUGGCAGGCCCCUGCAUUUCUCGGGCCUGCCAGAGGUUAUAAACCCUAGAAUCUCUGCUGUCUGAGUACUAUGCAAUAGUUAAAA
This 187-nucleotide unclassified non-coding RNA is filed under the name plant metagenome. Its description in RNAcentral is "partial contains small subunit ribosomal RNA and internal transcribed spacer 1". The stretch from base 1 to 46 matches the Rfam family "Eukaryotic small subunit ribosomal RNA", at positions 1786 to 1831 of the family's 1831-position model. The record is from RNAcentral.